RNAcentral lists this ribosomal RNA (440 nucleotides) under uncultured bacterium. RNAcentral's name for it is "partial 16S ribosomal RNA". It matches the Rfam family "Bacterial small subunit ribosomal RNA", at positions 338 to 795 of the family's 1533-position model. The record is from RNAcentral.
CCUACGGGAGGCAGCAGUGGGGAAUAUUGCACAAUGGGGGAAACCCUGACGCAGCGACGCCGCGUGAGUGAAGAAGGUUUUCGGAUCGUAAAGCUCUAUCAGCAGGGAAGAAAAUGACGGUACCUGACUAUGCAGCCCUGGAUAACACCGAGCCAGCAACCGCGGUAAGACGGAGGGGGCACGCGUUAUCCGGAUUUACUGGGGGUAAAGGGAGCGUAGACGGCUGCGCAAGUCUGGCGUGAAAUCCCAUGGCUUAACCAUGGAACUGCUUUGGAAACUGUGCAGCUAGAGUGCAGGAGAGGAAAGCGGAAUUCCAAGUGUAGCGGUGAAAUGCGUAGAGAUUAGGAGGAACACCAGUGGCGAAGGCGGCUUACUGGACUGUAACUGACGUUGAGGCGCGAAAGCGUGGGGAGCAAACAGGAUUAGAUACCCGAGUAGUC